Molecule: long non-coding RNA, 4470 nt
Filed under: Sus scrofa (pig)
Lineage: Eukaryota; Metazoa; Chordata; Mammalia; Artiodactyla; Suidae
Description: lncRNA (ENSSSCG00000059258.1)
Source: RNAcentral
UUUUAGGGCCGCACCCACGGCAUAUGGAGGUUCCCAGGCUAGGGGUCCAACUGAAGCUACAGCUGCUGGUCUACACCACAGCCACAGCAACAUGGGAUCCGAGCUGCGUCUGCGACCUACACCCCAGCUCCCGGCAAUGCCAGCUUCUUUAACCCACUGAGCAAGGCCGGGGAUCAAACCUGCAACCUCAUGGUUCCUAGUCAGAUUCGUUUCUGCUGCGCCACAAUGGGAAAGCCGUCUUUCAUCCACCUUUAAUGAGGAAAACGGAACAGACUGUUCCCAGCAGGAUGGACACGUCUCAUCCGUGAAGCAGGUGGCGGAGAGAUGAGACAAGAACGUCCCAAUUCUGAGCAUGACACGAAACCGAUUCUGAUGGAACAUCGGGAUUCGGAGACCUGACUUAGAGGGUCAGAGGCCUCGUUUCUAGAACUGGGGGAUGCUCCUUUCCUGCCUCCCUGCAUCCGUCACUUAUGUAACUACCGUCUCGCGAGGCGCAGUGGUGCCAGUUCUCAGGACGACGGCUUCUGUCCUUGAGCUUGGCCAUCUCGAGAACCUUCCAGUUGAAAGUGCCCAUCAACAGGGCCUAUGAUUUCCGUGAACUCCAAAGCAAAUGUUAUCUCUCUCUUUUUCACACACGGACAAACAUGUUUGUAUGAGACGGAAAAAGAACACAGUCAGCUCACGUCGAACAGCUACGCAGUGACGCCAACGGAAGAGCUUGCGAUGGACGGCGUGGGCGCUCCUGGAUUAUUUCUCCGUUUGAGGUAUUUCUUCCCCUACUCUAGCCUACCUGGGGCUCCACUUUUCCCACAGAAGUUCCUUCUUCUACAGGGAGACUCUCCCUUCGGCCGGGAGAGCACGUUGAUAAAGGGAUAAAGGAAGGCAGACAGGGAUUCUGAGGACCUGCUUCCAGUCCCACCCCGAGGUCACAGUGUGAGACCCAGGGACCUGCCAUCCACGUGGUCUUUCCUCCUCCUGCCAGGAGAACCCCACGGAUUCUAACGCCAGCCGAAAUGACAGACCACCUUCGAGGGUCUCUGAAUACCUCAUUCUCACAAAGCUGGAUGCCCUAACGCUUCCACGUCCGUCGUAGAAACAAUGCGGGCAUCACAGCUAAUCUGAUGAGCACACACAGCUCCCGGGCAUCAGAAGGUCAUUAGAAACAGGAGGAUGUUUGAGCAACGUGGACGUAACUCUUUGGCGAUUACUGUGACACUGAGCGGGAGCUGGCUCCCUGAACGACGCCCCCUCGCUGGCACGCGUUUUCCUUUCACGGGCAGGAGUGUUCGGCUCUAAGUCGCCAGGCUGAUUCAUUCACGCCCCCGUUCACUCUUGUCCAUUUCCUGACUGUGGACCUGCAACUUGCACAUCAAGGCUCCAGCACUGGGGUCUGACAAGCACAGGCUUACUCCCCACCUGGAUAUUCGUGGGAUCUGGAUGCAAUUCCCACCGAAGACCUGCUCCCUCCCACGCUUUUAGUUAUUUAUUUUUUUAAACAGUUGGGCAGUUUUUUUAUACAAACAUACACCGACUCCGUGAACCAACAAUUCUUUUUUGUAUGUGCAAAACACUACAUUUUUUUUGUCCAACUUCUGAUUAGUUUUAUUUUUUGAAUGAUUUUUAGUCUUUCCAUUAUAGCUGGCUGACAGUGUUCUGUCCGUUUUCUACUGUACAGCAAAGGGACCCAGUCACACAUACACGUAUACAUUCUUUUUCUCACAUUAUCGUCCAUCCUGCUCCAUUGUAAGGGACUAGAUGCAGCAGGAUCUCAUUGCUCAUCCACUCCAAAGGCAAUACUUUGCAUCUAUGAACCCCAGAUUCCCGGGGCAUCCCACUCCCUCCCUGUCUUCCUUGGUUUUUUAGUUUUAUUCAAGUACAGGCGAUUUACAAGCUGUGGUAAUUUCUGCUCUACGACAGAGUGAUUCAGUUACACGGAGACACACGUCCAUUCUGUGUCGUAUUCCUUUCCCACACACAGCAUCACAGAACACUGGGCAAAGUUCCCUGUGCUACAUGGCAGGUCCCCGUUGGCCAGGCAUCCCAUACACCUCAGUGUGCAUGGCUUAAACCCUUGGUCCAUCCCACUUUCCCAGUGAGUAAGUCAAGGUUCUUGUAUAAGAUAUUAUAUAGGCCACGGGAGUUCCCAUCGUGGCUCAGUGGUUAGCGAAUCCGACUAGGAACCAAGAGGUUGCGGGUUCAAUCCCUGGCCUCGCUCAGUGGGUUAAGGAUCCGACGUUGCCAUGAGCUGUGGUGUGGGUCACAGACGCGACUCAGAUCCCAAGUUGCUGUGGCUGUGGUGUCAGGAGAACCCCGGAGGGAUCCCGGGAUCAGGGCUACCCAAGUCACGACGAGUCCAAUCACCUGGGGACAGCUCGGUUACCCGAGCAGGUCCACCGUCCCUACCGUGCAACCCAAUCGGCUGGGUUUUCUGUAACUUGCAACACGUGGUCUGCCUGGUCUGCUUACACCAACACACUGGGACCCGUCCUGUCAGCCACGCCGCCCUGCCCUGGAGCUCUGCCCUGGACAGCAGUCAGUAUGUGGGACACCCCUGAGCUAAAGGAUGUCCUGGGGCUGGGACAGGGUCCCUUGCGUCACCUCGCCAGGGCAAAUCCUAGGCCAAUGAGCCGCUCACCACAAGGCCCUCUGCCAUGUUGCCCCCAGAUCUCAAGCAGGUGGGGCUACUGUCCCGGAGUGAACCCACACUUGGAACCCCCCCUUUGGCCACUGAGAUCUGAGCUGUUGGUCCCCUUUUGGGGGUCAGCCCCUCAACCCUGCCCAUCCCCUACUUUUACCCUUUCACCGUAGCCAGAAGCAUCUGGUCAUGGGUGAAGAUCAAACACUGGCAAGAAUGACUGAACUGGUAAUAUGACAGGAAUAGCAAAAUGAAUGACGAAACACAGAAUUGUUUGUGUGGGCAAGUCUCAUCAUUGAAACAAAAACAGUCUUAGGUCACAUCAGUAGCUUUUUCUCCCCUAAGAUUCUUUUCCUGAGGUGAGAAACAAGAAGUAGUUAGUGAAACACGAUACCGCCUGCUCUCCUUACUGCUCACUUAAAACGAAUUAUUAGCCUUCACUUCUCAUGCUAAUGACUUUUUAACUUCAUACACAGUGAAAUUUCAUCAUGUGUGAAUUUACUUACAUAACCCUCCUUAAUCUUCUUACAGUUUUUUAUCUAUACGAAGAGUUAGGCUUAAUAUUGGCUAUUUCUUUUUUGCUUUUGUAGGGCCCCACGUGCGGCCUAUGGAAGUUGCCAAGCUAGGGGUUGAACCGGAGCUGCAGCUGCCAGCCUACGACACCACAGCCACAGCAAUGCUGGAUCCAAGCCACAUCUGCCAUCUAACCUGGGUCAAUUCAAGCAUCCUUUUGGCGCACAGACUCUUUCUUUUGGCAGACUUUUAGCUUUACAUAAAAGCUGCAAAGAUCGUACAGAGCGUUCCCGUAUGUCCCUCACUCAGUUUCACCAACUAUUAACCUCUUACAUGGCCAAUGGCAUUUGAACCUGAGAUGGUGACAGCUAUGACCUGAGCUCCAGGGGGAUUUCGACACGGCUGGCAAAUGCCCCUUCCUCUGCUCCAAGCUCCCAUCCGGAUGCCACGCUGCACGGGGCUGUCACAGCGCCUGCGUCUUCUCUGGUUGGGGACAGUUUCUCAGGCUUUUCUUGUUCCACCGCAGUUUUAAAGGGGGUGGUGCAGUGCCUUCCACAAUUUCCUGCCAGCUGAGUUGUCUGGGAUUUUCCUCCUCAGUAGGCCAGGUUUGGGUUUGGGGACUGUCUCAGGAAAGGGAAACGUGCGCUCAGGACAAGAACAUCCAUGGUGACGGUAGCUCUGUCACCUGGUUAAGGUGCUGCCUGCCAGAUUUCUCCGGUGAGGCUACUCUUUUUCCUUUAAUUUAAUGGUGAUGCUUUAAAUCCAAGUGUCACCCAGUCACCCAAUCAUGACACGUCAGCUUGAUGGAGCCAGGAGGUGAGUCGUUUUCAGCAAGUUUUGUUGCCUUUCUUUUUUUUUCCCCGUCUUUUUCAGCUGCACCUGCAGCAUAUGGAGGUUCCCAGGCUAGGGGUCGAAUCGGAGCUGUAGCCACUAGCCUACACCACAGCCACAGUCACGCCAGACCCGAGCCGAAUCUGUGACCUGCACCACAGCUCGUGGCAAUGCCAGAUCCUUAACCCACUGAGCGAGGCCAGGGAUCGAACCUGCGUCCUCAUGAAUACCAGCUGGGUUCGUUAACCACGGAGCCACGACGGGAACUCCAGGUUUUUUUUCUGGGACAGGAUGGUGAAUUCACAGAGGAAAGCAGUGUGUGGGGUGGGUCUGGUGUAGCUGAAGAGCAGGUGCAGGAGAGAGUAGGGGUCGUGACGGGAGGAUCGAGGCCCCCCCGGGGAGGGGCACAGGAGGCCCUCGGGGCGGAGGCCCUCGGUGGGGAGUUAGCACAGCCCCACACACAGCACGUGGCUUCGCGGCCCGAUGGCGGC